ACCUGGCUGGCUCAGUUGGUGGAGCAUGUGACUCUUGAUCUCAGGGUUGUGAGUUUGAGCCCCACGUUCGGUG
RNAcentral lists this transfer RNA (73 nucleotides) under Felis catus (domestic cat). It matches the Rfam family "tRNA". From Rfam's summary of the family: Transfer RNA (tRNA) molecules are approximately 80 nucleotides in length. Their secondary structure includes four short double-helical elements and three loops (D, anti-codon, and T loops). Further hydrogen bonds mediate the characteristic L-shaped molecular structure. tRNAs have two regions of fundamental functional importance: the anti-codon, which is responsible for specific mRNA codon recognition, and the 3' end, to which the tRNAs corresponding amino acid is attached (by aminoacyl-tRNA synthetases). tRNAs cope with the degeneracy of the genetic code in two manners: having more than one tRNA (with a specific anti-codon) for a particular amino acid; and 'wobble' base-pairing, i.e. permitting non-standard base-pairing at the 3rd anti-codon position. The record is from Rfam by way of RNAcentral. Lineage: Eukaryota; Metazoa; Chordata; Mammalia; Carnivora; Felidae.